Alosa alosa (allis shad) is the source of this 477-nucleotide long non-coding RNA. RefSeq lists it as uncharacterized. The record is from RefSeq and is a predicted model, not a curated record. The transcript is spliced from 4 exons. NCBI's taxonomy places the organism in Eukaryota, Metazoa, Chordata, Actinopteri, Clupeiformes, Clupeidae.
GGAGAGGUAUGACUCAACUCGUGAAAGUUAAGGUUGUCAGACUGCUCUGUUUCACAUGUGGAUUUUGCCAACCUUGGACAUGCCCCAAGGUCUAAUCCCACACACCUCAGAGAGCUGGAUCUCUCCAAAAACUCAUCUCAGGUAGCCGCUGUCAGGGAGCUUUAACGUGCAAUCCAGGACCAAUUCUGUAAACUGGAGGAACUUAGGCUAGUUGGUGUCAGCUUGGUGAAGAGAGUUGUGAAUAUCUGGUACUGCGCUCCAAUUCUAAUCUGCAAACAUUGGACUUGAGCCUCAACAAACUGCAGGAUGCAGGUGUACAGCAACUUUCUAAAGGUUUAGAAGACACAUGUCAUUUGGAUACACUAAGGCUGUCACACUGCCAUAUAACAGAGAAGGGUUUCAGGGCUUUGGCGGCAGCACUGACAUCUAAUCCCUCCUACCUGAGAGAACUGGAUGUGAGCAGGAAUAAGCCUGGAG